Molecule: long non-coding RNA, 217 nt
Filed under: Capsicum annuum
Lineage: Eukaryota; Viridiplantae; Streptophyta; Magnoliopsida; Solanales; Solanaceae
Description: long non-coding RNA (CANN_LNC012495)
Source: RNAcentral
UAAAACAUGGACCCUUGUUUUAUGAAAAAGGUUGAGAUGUGAUGUAAAGUCUUUUUGGUGGUUGGGGGUCUUUCAAGAUUCAACAAAUACUACACCUUGUCUUUCACCUUUUUAAGAUCUAAGUUCACUUUAAUAUUAACAAGGUGAUGAAUAUGGUGAAGAACUUCAAGAACACAACAACCACAACAAGAACAACCAACAACAAUCUCCCAAGAAA